Non-coding RNA from Arachis ipaensis, 1804 nucleotides. Lineage: Eukaryota; Viridiplantae; Streptophyta; Magnoliopsida; Fabales; Fabaceae. The record is from RefSeq and is a predicted model, not a curated record.
GACAUCACUAUGGAGGGUUGUAGUUGGUCUUCCAACUGGUCUAUCAGAUUUGCUUCAUGGGAAACAUUAAUAUGUUAUGUCUUCCCAGGCAGGAGUCAUAAACUAGUGUUGGUGGUAAAGGUUGGCGCCGCAGGUAAGGCGAGCUGACGCAAGUUCGGGCUUCAUUAAAUUUUGUUGGUUUUGGUUUGUUGGGCUUAAUAUCUUUCACCAAUAUUUGUGUCUACUCUUUUCUCGCGUGAACACCGCAGCGUCUCUUUCAUCGUCACUCUCUACUCCAAAAUGGCUGCGCACUAAGCCCUAUUUUUCUUCGGUGGCAACAUCACUGGCAGCGACACUUGUUGGUGUGGCUCCUCUUUUCGUAUGGUUCUUUUACAUCAAAAUGAACGAUGAUCUCCCAAAGCUUCAGCGGUUUUCUUUUUUCUCCGUGGUUUGCUCUGAGUGAAUAAGAACGACGACUACGAGCUUGUGUAGUUGUGUGACUCGUCUAAUUCAACGAAUGACGCCUAUAGAUGAACAUGACAGACAACUACAGUUGUGUUUUUCUGAUGUAUCGGGACAAUCGAUAAUUACCUAUAUGGCACCGGAAGUCAACAGUUUAACAGCGUUGAAGAAUUUGAUAUUGCAUUUUGUCAGACAGCAAGAGGUAAAUGUAUUAGAUCAUGGUGAGAAAUAUUUCUGUUGUUUUGAAUUAGGUAUCGUUUACGUGACGACGAAGACAUAUGGCGUAUAAGGUCGUGGCACAAUCGAUGGACAAAUGUUCAUCUGUUGGAAUGAUUUAUGUUCCUCGUUAAGUUGGGUGGCUGAAGAUCGUCUGCAGAUAUUGUCGAUGAUAGUCCGUUGAGUGGAGCUGUUCGGUGAACUAUCAGAAGGACGAUGGUGGAUCUAAAUAUGCCACCUGAAGGUAGUCAAGAAAGGUCUAAUGUUAAAGUUCGUAAUGUUGACUUAAUGAAUGACGGUGUUGAAAGUCAUAAGGGUUUUGCUAUUAGGGAUCUGAUGAUGGAUCAGUAUGAAGUUAACCCCGAUGACGGAGACAAUGCUGAUGAAGAACCACCCAAAAUUCCUGACGAUGGUGACGAGGAAGAAGAGAUGAACUACUAUGAUGACACACAAAUCGCUCUGACACAGCUUGCCUUUUCUCGACCAUAUGACCGGCCGGAUCAUUUCACGAGGUUGAAUCUCGAGGCAAUGAAUUUUGAUUGGUCGUUUACCCAGGGAGGCCCCGAAGAGGAUCCAAGCAACGAGUUCGAGGUUGGAAAACAAUUUAAGAACAAGAAAAAAAGUCAUGUUGGCAGUUAAGCAGUACAGUAUCAGGAGAGCUGCGAAGUACAAAAUAGUAGAGAGUGACCUGUUGAGGUAUAAUGCACAGUGUAUCCAGUUCGGGCCUAGUUGUAAUUGAAGCAAACUCAUAUCAUGUCGCCGAAAGCAAGAAAAAUGGGAGGUUAGGAGAUAUACUUGUCCUCAUACUUGCAUGCAAGCAUUGAUGGGGCAAGACCAUCGUAGGUUAGAUUCGAAGGUGAUUGCGCAACAUAUUUUCACGAUGUUCAAAGCCGAUCCAACAAUCAACAUCAAGGUUCUGCAAGGAGGUGUGGAGAAUCACUUUGGUUACAAGGCGUCCUACAGAAAGGUUUGGCUUGCAAAACAGAGAGUCAUUGCUAGAAUAUAUGGCGAUUGAGAGGAGUCAUACAACGAGCUUCCUCGUUGAUUAUUCGCUAUAUAGACGUACUUUCCUGGUAAGAUUUAUUUCAUUAUGGUUAUUCACUAUUAAACAAUUCAGACAUGUACAAUAAGCUAACUGAAAAUGUGU